RNAcentral lists this ribosomal RNA (253 nucleotides) under uncultured bacterium. RNAcentral's name for it is "partial 16S ribosomal RNA". It matches the Rfam family "Bacterial small subunit ribosomal RNA", at positions 524 to 776 of the family's 1533-position model. The record is from RNAcentral.
UACGAAGGGGGCUAGCGUUGCUCGGAAUCACUGGGCGUAAAGCGCACGUAGGCGGAUUGCUAAGUCAGGGGUGAAAUCCUGGAGCUCAACUCCAGAACUGCCUUUGAUACUGAAGAUCUUGAGUUCGGGAGAGGUGAGUGGAACUGCGAGUGUAGAGGUGAAAUUCGUAGAUAUCGAGAGGAACACCGGUGGCGAAGGCGGCGAUCUGGACGAUGACUGACGCUGAGACGCGAAAGCGUGGGGAGCAAACAGG